GUCUAUGGUCGUGCCACCUUCAACAAGCCCAAUUUUGUCUGAUCUCAGAAGCUAAGCAGGGUAGGGCCUGGUUUAGUACUUUGGAUGGGGGACCGCCUAGGAAGACCAGGUGCUAUAGGUG
Molecule: ribosomal RNA, 121 nt
Filed under: Pteropus vampyrus (large flying fox)
Lineage: Eukaryota; Metazoa; Chordata; Mammalia; Chiroptera; Pteropodidae
Source: RNAcentral